AUUCUACUCUGUAUUACAGCCAACCACAUUUCCAGGCUCCCUUGUCCUCUGCUAUCUAGGAGUAUGAUGGCCAAUGGAUCCAAAACCUAUCCUAUAUCUACAUGUUGGUGGCCACAUUAAUCUGACAUCUGACAGCAAGAGCGAUGAUUGGGUUCACUGGAAAUCUUUGUGAAGUACGAGUGAAGUCCUUGUGAAGUCAGAGUUUCCUCUUCAUGCCUCUACUCCUAUGCAGUUUGACCUCUCAGUGUGCAGCUGGUGAUAGAUGGAAACCCUUGUUCAUAAGCUUUGUGGCACUGUCGGCAGGAUGAGGGGACUUCUGGAUCCUCACUGGUCACUGUGGCAGAGUGGUUGGUGUUGUCUGCUCCCUAGACAGGAACCCACUGAAGAAUCUGACAUUUUUUGAUAUGCUGGCAUUCAUUGUUACAGCCCAUCAUCCCAGCCAUCAAUCCAGGACAUGGGGUCUGUGCCCACGGUGGGAAGGAGGAGGGGGAAGCUGGCUUUGUUCUGACGUUGGGCUUCUUCUGCUCCACCAGUACUUUCUGUGGGGGAAAUAGGUAAAGAAAUGGCUGUUCAGAUGAGAAGAUGUGUCAGUAAACUUUUGCUACAGUGAUGCUGCAAAACAAAUCACUGGUGACUUUCAGUGGCACACAGCAAUAAACAUUUAUUUAGCUCAGGGAUUGACAAUCUUUUUUUUUUUUUAAAGGGCCAAAUAGUAAAUAUUUUAGGUGUUUCAGGCCAUACAGUCUCUGAACUCUGAACUUGUAGCACAACAGUAGCCUUAGAUGCUAUGCAAAUGGAGGAGCAUGACUGUGUUCCAAUAAAACUUUAUUUAUGGACACUAAAAUUGGAAUUUCAUGGAAUUUUUAUAUGUUAAGAAAUAUUAUACUUUGAUUUUUUUCAACCACGAAGUUGAAUGGUCUGUGAGUU
Molecule: long non-coding RNA, 927 nt
Filed under: Homo sapiens (human)
Lineage: Eukaryota; Metazoa; Chordata; Mammalia; Primates; Hominidae
Description: HSALNT0322026
Source: RNAcentral